RNAcentral lists this ribosomal RNA (506 nucleotides) under uncultured bacterium. RNAcentral describes it as "partial 16S ribosomal RNA". It matches the Rfam family "Bacterial small subunit ribosomal RNA", at positions 29 to 523 of the family's 1533-position model. The record is from RNAcentral.
AGUGAACGCUGGCGGUAGGCCUAACACAUGCAAGUCGAACGGCAGCACAGGAGAGCUUGCUCUCUGGGUGGCGAGUGGCGGACGGGUGAGGAAUACAUCGGAAUCUACUCUGUCGUGGGGGAUAACGUAGGGAAACUUACGCUAAUACCGCAUACGACCUACGGGUGAAAGCAGGGGACCUUCGGGCCUUGCGCGAUUGAAUGAGCCGAUGUCGGAUUAGCUAGUUGGCGGGGUAAAGGCCCACCAAGGCGACGAUCCGUAGCUGGUCUGAGAGGAUGGUCAGCCACGCUGGAACUGAGACACGGUCCAGACUCCUACGGGAGGCAGCAGUGGGGAAUAUUGGACAAUGGGCGCAAGCCUGAUCCAGCCAUACCGCGUGGGUGAAGAAGGCCUUCGGGUUGUAAAGCCCUUUUGUUGGGAAAGAAAUCCAGCUGGCUAAUACCCGGUUGGGAUGACGGUACCCAAAGAAUAAGCACCGGCUAACUUCGUGCCAGCAGCCGCCGCCG